UUAAAGUUGUUGCAGUUAAAAAGCUCGUAGUUGAAACUUGGGCCUGGCUGGCCGGUCCGCCUCACCGCGUGCACUGGUCCGGCCGGGUCUUUCCUCCUGGCUAGCCCCAUGCCCUUCACUGGGUGUGUGGGUGAACCAGGACUUUUACUUUGAAAAAAUUAGAGUGUUCAAAGCAGGCAUAUGCUCGAAUACAUUAGCAUGGAAUAAUA
This 209-nucleotide ribosomal RNA is filed under the name uncultured fungus. RNAcentral describes it as "partial 18S ribosomal RNA". It matches the Rfam family "Eukaryotic small subunit ribosomal RNA", at positions 604 to 819 of the family's 1831-position model. Lineage: Eukaryota; Fungi. The record is from RNAcentral.